Molecule: long non-coding RNA, 276 nt
Organism: Monodelphis domestica (gray short-tailed opossum)
Lineage: Eukaryota; Metazoa; Chordata; Mammalia; Didelphimorphia; Didelphidae
Source: RefSeq, a predicted model, not a curated record
ACAGGAGAGCCAAGCAAAGGUCCAGGUGGACCAGUGGCCCAUUAUGUUGUCCCCAGGCUAAAUGUGAGCUAGCCUUUGUCAUAAGGUUGGCUCCUUUUUGACCUCCAGUCAUGCCAGGCUGCUGACGGUGGAGAAUCUCCCUGGGCUCUCAAGGAAUCCAGACUGAGCAAUUUCCCAAGGGCAGAGACUGUUCACUUUUGUCUUUAGAUGGGAUGGGCGUCUUCCAUGCCUAGCACACAGCCCACUUAAUAAACGCUUAAUUGAUUGUUCUUUUCA